Molecule: ribosomal RNA, 461 nt
Filed under: uncultured bacterium
Lineage: Bacteria
Description: partial 16S ribosomal RNA
Rfam family: Bacterial small subunit ribosomal RNA
Source: RNAcentral
GACGAACGCUGGCGGCGUGCUUAACACAUGCAAGUCGAGCGGAAAGGCCCUUCGGGGUACUCGAGCGGCGAACGGGUGAGUAACACGUGAGUAACCUGCCCCAAACUUUGGGAUAACCCUCGGAAACGGGGGCUAAUACCGGAUACGACACAGCUUCGCAUGGGGUCUGUGUGGAAAGUUUUUCGGUUUGGGAUGGGCUCGCGGCCUAUCAGCUUGUUGGUGGGGUGAUGGCCUACCAAGGCGACGACGGGUAGCCGGCCUGAGAGGGCGACCGGCACACUGGGACUGAGACACGGCCCAGACUCCUACGGGAGGCAGCAGUGGGGAAUAUUGCACAAUGGGCGGAAGCCUGAUGCAGCGACGCCGCGUGAGGGAUGACGGCCUUCGGGUUGUAAACCUCUUUCAGCAGGGACGAAGCGUAAGUGACGGUACCUGCAGAAGAAGCGCCGGCCAACUACGUG